This is a long non-coding RNA of Schistocerca gregaria, 7299 nucleotides long. RefSeq lists it as uncharacterized. Lineage: Eukaryota; Metazoa; Arthropoda; Insecta; Orthoptera; Acrididae. The record is from RefSeq and is a predicted model, not a curated record. The transcript is spliced from 2 exons.
UACUUCCUUUACAGACCACUGGAAGCGCUAGGGGUCAAAGGAAGCUGGAAUUGACCAAUGAGAGCUGUGCAAUGGCGGUUGUUGAUCUGUCGUCUUGAUCUGUAGUCGGUACUGAAAUCUACAGUCGUCUUUGUUUUAUGUUUACAUAUUACUGAUCUUCAUGAUAAACAGUUUCUUAUUUUAAAUUUCAUAGCGUUCACCGUGAAAUAGAGGAGAUUUCCUGCUGAAAAAUGUCCACAAUUAAUCCUAAGAAUAUUACAACACAACAAUCUGACAUUUAAAUACUCCUGUAAAUUCCCUGGCUGUUCAUCUGAAUAUUACGUGGUUUGAACGGAGGAAGUUAUCAACAAGCAUUUAUACAGGUUUCCAAAACAACCGCAAUAGUUGCUUCUGAAGUGGAAAACUGUUUGUAAACAGUCACCUGAUGUGAACUGUGCUACUUGUUUUAUUUGUGAAAAUCAUUUUUUCGAAGAAGAUUUUAUGAAUAAAAUUAGGCAGUUUAAACAGGGAUGUGUUUCCAAAACAUCUGGUAGGUGUUCCCUGUAAAAUACUUGUAUCAGAAGUGAGUCAGAUGAAACUGUUGUUAAUAGUGAAUUAGGCCUACCAAGCACUGGUGGCGUUAUGGUAAGUAUUCAUUAUACAGCUGCUAAUACCCGAAGUGAAACUGGUGUUAAUGAACUACAAAGCUUUAGUUGUCCUGUGGCAAGAAGUUCUCAUGCAGCUGUUAGUACCAGAAGUGGAUCAGGUGACACAGGUGUUAAUAGUGAAUUAGGCCUACCAAGCACUAGUGGUGCCAUGGAAUAUUUUAUUAUAUAGGUGCCAACACCAGAAGUGAAACCGGUGUUAGUGAAUUACCUAGCACUAGUUGGGCUGAGCAGAGUAAUUCAUUGAGUGAUCCCCCUCUUAAAUUUUUUAUCUCGUUCCAAAAUGUAUCUGCAGAUGAUGAGAACACAUUACACAAUUUGUAAUGAGGAAAGUGGGAUUUUAGGUGCACGGGUCUCAUAUUUUUUUAAUUAGCCUAUUUAUUUUCGAGUUCCAUGGAUCCUUGACACGAAUGUAUCGCUAGGAUGUAGAACGUGUGAGGUUAUUACAGUAAUAGCCACAUGUAUAUAAUUAUGAGGCAACCGAUUUAAGAUAUAUAAGCAGAUACAUGAAAAAGGAUAUCCACAUGUCAAAUCAUUACAUACAAAAAUUCAGAUAACAACACAGAUAAUAUUACAGAAACGACAUAGAUGAUUGCAUAAAUAGUAGUACAGUAAUGGCAUAUAUGAUUACAUGAACAAAUUUAAAGUAAUUCAUCUAAAAAAUAUUCUGCCGACAAGUGAUAUGCUAAUCUACAUAGCCUAAUCAGUCGUAUUAGAAAUGCAUGAAAUUAAAGACAAAUUCAAAAAGUAUUACACAUAAUCAAAGAAUUCCUGUAAAGAAUAGAAAGAAUUAUGCAAAAGAAAAAGUUUUAGCUCUGUUUUGCAUUUAAUAUGAUCCCCAAUGACUGAUUUGAUAUGGACAGGAAGUUUAUUGAACACUUUUAGAAUGAACUCCUUUCUGUACCAUGCUGAGAUUUUUUAAAUCAUUGUGAAGAUGGUUUUCUUCUUGUAUUGUGAUCAUGGUAGGCACUAUUCAUUUUGUAAAUUGCAUAAUUUUUGUUCACAAAGCACAUUAGUGACAAGAUGUAUUCACAAGGCAUGGUGAGGAUCCCCCAGCAGUGUGAAUAAGUUUCUGCAAGAACAUCUAGGAUCCACUCUACUCAUAAUCCUGAUAACUCUCUUCUGUGCAACAAAGAAUUUAUUUGCUUGUGGUUGAGUUCCCCAGACGGUAAGGCCAUAUGUCAUAAGUGAAUGGAAAUAACCAGCAUAUGCAGUUUUUAUUGUUUCCAUGUCACAAACAGAUGCAAUUGAGCGAAUGGCAAAUGCUGCUGAAUUCAGUCUUUUACAUAGGUCAGUGAUGUGGACAGACCAAUUUAGUUUGUUAUCAGUAUGUAAAUGCAGAAAUGUGGAAGAUACAACUUUCAUUAUUUCUUUGUCUCCACAUUUCAUUUCAAGAUUUUCCAAUUUUUUGUUUACUGUUUGAAACUGAAUGAAAUGAGUCUUAUUAACAUUUACAGUGAACCAAUGUAGAAAUUCUUGGAAUAUAGUGGUUGCAGUGUUCUCUAGACUGCAGUUGGGUACCUUGUCAAUCAUGUCUCUGUGUCAUCUGGAGAGGGUGAAGUGUGUUUCUUGGGUUACACACCAUGGGAGGUCAUUUACAAAGAUUAAGAAAAGUAAGGGACCAAGCACUGAGCCCUGUGGCACUCCACAUUUUAAUUUACCUCAAUCACAGCUGGCAGGCGCCUUUGCACAAUUGUUUAAUACUACCUUUUGAUUUCUGUCAUCUAGAUACGACUCAAGCCACUUCCCUACUGUAUCUUUUAAGCCAUAAUGCUCAGUCUUUCCUAGUAGAACAGUCUUUCCUAGUAGAAUCUUGUGAUCUACACAGUCAAAUGCUUUUGACAGAUCACAAAAGAUUCCAACUGGUGACAUUUUCUUGUUUAUUGAUUCAAGAAGUUGGUUGACGAAAGAGAAAAUGGCUUGUUUAGUUGAAACACCCUUUUGGCAUCCAAACUGAUUUUUAUUAAAGAUGUUAUAUUUAUUAAGGUGAGCCAUGAUUCUAUUGUACAUAAGUUUCUCAUGGAUUUUUGAAAGACGUGUUUACAAUGAAAUUGGGUGGUAGUUAGAAACCUCUGCUUUAUUUCCCUUUUUUUGAAGAUUGGUUGAACAACUGCAAAUUUUAGUCUAUUAUGGACAGUACCUUGAUUUAGAGAUUCAUUAAAUGUGUGACACAGAACUUUAAGAAUAUAUUUGUGGCAAUGUUUCAGUACUUCGAUAGAUAUAUUCUCCACACCAGUGGAAUUUUUGUUUUUCAUUUGGCGUGAUGUAGGGUUCACACAUCAGGCGCUAAUUUUUCUCUGCACUGCUUUUUUUAGAAGGUUCAUAGAUUCAUCCAUAGACCCUUUACAUCCAAUUUGAUCCGCUGCUGUCAGAAAAUGAUUGUUGAAGAUGUUGACAACUAUUUCCCCUUCAUCUACCAUGCUUCCAUUGUGACACACUUGGAUACUGUCUGUAUCCCCUGAAACUUUUCCUGGCUCCCUUUUUACCACCCUUUGUUCUUUCCUUCAUAAUUCAGAUGCAUCCCGUGCCUGGUAUGCUGACAUCUGUCCAAUUUGCCUAUAUCAAGGACACUGCGUUUUGCGAACAAAGGACACAUUUGUUUUAUUUUCAUGUUAGUUUUUUGACACACGAGUGAUAUAUCAAGUCAUUUAUGUGUGGUAAUGUUGAGACAAUAGUAUUACGUUGUUCAUUUCGUUCUAGGAAUUUAUUUAUUUCCGUUAGGCAGUCAUCUGCUUCAUUUUUUGCACCAUCGUUUGAACCUGCAAUACACACCACAAAGUCAUUCUUUCUUAGCAAUUUGUCAUGCAGAUUGACACCAGUAAUAUUUUUUGUUGUAGUGUUUCCUGUGUCCUUUGAAAAGUUUUGUCACGUUUUUGCCGUGACUGUUGGUUAAAAAUAAUACACUACUUCCAUACUGUUUUACAUUUUUCUUGAUUGUGUUCUUCUCAUCAGCGGAAUAAUAAAACAAAGAUCUGUUACGAAUCAAUAUAUCUGCAAAAUAAACUAUGCCAUAAAAGAACAAUGUGACGUGCUUGGGGCAGUGUUCAUUGAUCCCAAGAAAUUUCUGAAUGAUAAUUGCUUAGGAAAUGAUAGCCUGUGCAUCUAAAUAGAUUGGGGUCUCAAACACUCAGUAUAAUGUUCACAGAUGUUUGCAAGAUAAUAAGAAGCAAGGAAAACUAAAAAGGCUUGAUAGGGGUGAAAAACUAGACAAAGUAGCUAAAACGUCCAAAAAUAAGCAUCAUCCAAGAAACGUGGAAGGACCGAAUACAGACCUAAAAAUUCGUUUUCUAAAUACUCAAGGACUGAACAACAAGGAACUGGUAUUAAAUGUUGCUUAUUACUUCACUCAGAACUCGAGUUUCAAAUAUCACUUUAAAAAGUCUUAUUACCUAUGUCAUAAUGCAAUUGCAAGAACUAGGGCUAAAGGUAAUUUGUACAGUUUGAGACCAGGAUGCAGCCAGCCAGAGAGCACUGAAGAAAUUCUGCUGUGAGAAAUCUACUGAGUCCAGUCCUUUCAUUUUUUAGUCUCAGUGAUGAACCUAUUGCUGUACUUUAUGAUGCCCCGCAUCUAUUACAGAAUACAUGAAAUGCUCUGCUAAGGAAUAAAAUACAGUUUGGGUUUUAAAAAAAGGCCAGUUUUGAAUUUAUUCAAAGGGCUUUUCUUCUGGCUCAGCAAGAGAUUGCCAAAAUUACAGAGGAAUCAUUUUAGAAUUUAAGGGUUCUUUUAGUAAAAUGAAAGUCAAGGUAGCUGCAGCCCAGCUUAGUCAUACAGUUGCUGCAGUUAUUGAAACUUAUGUUGCAUUUAAUAAUUACCUUUGAGGCAAUAUACAGUGCACAUUUUGUUGAAAACAUGAAAUGUUUAUUUGAUUCACUGAACAGUUCCCAUUAUUAUCCACAAGAUGUCAAAUGUUAUAAGUGUGCUCUCUCUGCAGACUCUUCACAUAUUGAAAUGUGGUACAAUAUGUUAAAGGAUAUUGAAAAUUGGAAAGUGUUGCAGCAAGGAACAGGAAGAGAUAAGACAAAAAUGUUCAGUUGCAUAAGUGGGUGUCAGACUAUAAUAAUAUCACUGGUGGUUCGUUUGCAGUAGAUUUUAAAAAGUUGGCUUUAAUUUUUUAAGCAUGAGGGCUUUCAAUCAAGACCCAUUUAAGAAUGUAUUUUGUUGAAUGAGGCAGCUUGUGUGGCAAAACACAAACCCAACUUGCUUUCAGUUCAAAGCAGCAAUGAAAACAGUUGUACUCAAUAACCAUGUCCAUACCUAUAAAUUCACUAGGUAAUUGUGAGGAUAAUAGAUGCAUGCCAUUAAACAGUAUUUGGUAGCAAGGGAUGACAGCUUUCUUGGCUUCACAAUAGACCAUUCCAUUAUUGAUCGAAGUGCUUUAUACAGUGCCCUUGCUGACAAUGAAGCUGCUGGUUGUGGUGGUGAAGGGGCUGAUGUAAUAAAUGGUAGAUAAGCACUAGCAUAUGUAGCCGAUUGCAUUUUACGAAACAUGGGUUCAACACCUGAAAACAACUCUGUUCUCACCGGGUUGACCAAAGCGUCCGAUCCCACCCGUCGGCUAGGGCUCGUGACGUAAGAUUGCUGUGGUGUGUGACGUCUUGACAGCACGGAGCUUGGUUUGUGAGUGUGGCGUGUUUGUAGGUGUCCGUGGUGCCCUCUGGCGGUGUGUUUAGAGGUUUCGUGUUGUGUGGUGUAUUAGGUUCAGUUUGGUGUUACUGCUUGCUCUGGGUGGUGGAGAUGAAUUGUUUUUCAGUGAGUGAACGAUUUAGUGUUUGUUGUGUGAAACUUAUUGUAGUGCUGUUCACUGUAGGUCGUGUGUUAAUUUGAGUAAAUUAAUUUGUUGUUGCUCUUGUUAGGUAUGGCUAUGACUGAUAAAGUUAACAGUGUGCAUUUGCAUGCUGAAAUGGGGGCGAGUCCGAUGGUGUUGAUUAAAUUUCUGCAGCUGUUUGACUUGUUGGCAGAGGUUGUGCUGUUUGUGGUCAAGACAUGAAAUUGGCAAAAGUUCCUGCGUCUCGGACCAGGGACGAUUAUAUGUGACAGUGCCAUAGGGAUAACCUGUGGCGCUCCAUGUGUUGCAGUUCCUGGUUUGAGAAGUCUAGGUUGGGCAUGUAUAAAUCACAGCUUUUGUGCACAUGAGACUGGUUUGAGUGAGAGGAGUGUGCUUGAGUGGUUUUUGUUUCGUCGUGAUGUGUGUUCGGAGUUUAUUAAGUGCAGGGGUAAGUUGGGUGGGCCUGUGGUUGUAGUGGAGGUGGAUGAGUGACAGUUUGGGAAAAGGAAGUACGAGAGGGGUAAGUCUGUGGUUGGUGUCUGGGUGUGGGGGGCUGUUGUAUCAGAGGGGGGGGGGGGGGUGUUCGGAAUGUGUUUUUAGGGUUGUGGAGGGGUAGAUUAAGAGGGAAUUAGUGGGGUUAAUUGAGGAGUUUGUAGAACCGGGUUCUACUGUAGUUUCUGAUAUUUUUUCUUCUUAUAGGGGGUUGAGUGAGAGGGGGUACAAUCAUUUAAUAGUGAACCAUAAUUUGGAGUUUCAAAAUUAUGAAACAGGGGCUUGUACGAAUGCCAUAGAGGGGAGGUUGGGGGCCGUUAAGUCAGUUCUUGGGAGGAGGAAGAGAUGCUCUUCUAACUUUCAGUCUCAUUUAGAUGAAUACUGUUGGCAGGAGAGUGAGAGAGAGAGAGAGAGAGAGAGAGAGAGAGAGAGAGAGAGAGAGAGAGAGAGAGGUUGCUGACUAUGUUGUGGUGCCGGAAUUUUGUUGUGGCAAGUUUUUACUUCUCUUUUUUUAGUGUAUUUGUUGUGUGUUGUAAUGGCUGGUGGGGUGGUUCUGAGUUGUGUGGUUUGUGGUAUUGUUGAUUUUGUAUUGUAUGUUGGUUUGUAGGUAUGUAGUUGAAGAGAAGUUUUUGAUUCCAGUGUGUGGUCAUCUGUGGGUGUUUUGGUAUUGGGAGUUGCUGUUGACCUAUAUAGGUCAAGGGAAGUGUCCGAUUCCAGAGGGUAUUUGGGGGGAUUUGUGUUGUCCUUUUUUUCCGUCAUCGUGUGUGGUUUGGUAAGGUGGUGUGUGUCUAAAUUUGUUUGUAUUUAGUUUGUCCACACCCAAAAACCCCCAUUUUCCCACACUUGUCCUGUUAGUUUGGUUAGGUUUUUUGUGGAAGGUGUAUGUGUGGGUGGGGGGGUUUCAAUGUAUUUUCAUGUUUGUUGUCAUUUUUACGUAAUGAUGGCGCCAUAUUGUAGUAGUAGUGGAUGGUCGUUCCCACCAUAUUUCUGAUAUCAUGGGUCAAACAGGUCGAGUUGGACGUUUCCCACAGAACAUCAUUUAUUUCCAAAUUUCAAGUGUAUGCUAGUGUAAGCUUAAUGUCCCUUAUAGCAAAUGUUCAUAGUUGUAUGCAUUUUUAGAUAAAUGUGGACACCAGGAAAAACUGGAGAAUAUAUUUUAUUCGCUGUUUAAGUUUCAAGAGGAAAUAACAUUUUGCAAAGUCCAUUUUUGUGAACAGUAUGUUUUAAGAAAAUGUGUACUUCUUUUGAUUUACAAGUAUGUGAGAGAUUGGAAAAACACCAUCAGUAAUAAAAGACUUAAUGCUGUUAAAAACAAAAUUAGUAAAAGGUUUAAAACUGUACGAUAGAAGAAAAUUUUUAUUGUGUGCUUGAGAAAUAAAAAGUAAGUUUUGUUUUCA